GGGGUGAAGUCGUAACAAGGUAGCCGUACCGGAAGGUGCGGCYGGAUYACCUCCUAA
Molecule: ribosomal RNA, 57 nt
Filed under: uncultured Prochlorococcus sp.
Lineage: Bacteria; Bacillati; Cyanobacteriota; Cyanophyceae; Synechococcales; Prochlorococcaceae
Description: partial 16S ribosomal RNA
Rfam family: Bacterial small subunit ribosomal RNA
Source: RNAcentral